This 69-nucleotide transfer RNA is filed under the name Cryptomonas paramaecium. RNAcentral describes it as "Cryptomonas paramecium tRNA". It matches the Rfam family "tRNA", at positions 7 to 64 of the family's 71-position model. From Rfam's summary of the family: Transfer RNA (tRNA) molecules are approximately 80 nucleotides in length. Their secondary structure includes four short double-helical elements and three loops (D, anti-codon, and T loops). Lineage: Eukaryota; Cryptophyceae; Cryptomonadales; Cryptomonadaceae. The record is from RNAcentral.
CGUGGCGCAAUGGAUAGCGUGUUAGACUUCUAUACACGAAAUCUAAAGAUUGUGGGUUCGAUUCCCAUC